RNAcentral lists this ribosomal RNA (1353 nucleotides) under uncultured bacterium. RNAcentral describes it as "partial 16S small subunit ribosomal RNA". It matches the Rfam family "Bacterial small subunit ribosomal RNA", at positions 28 to 1381 of the family's 1533-position model. The record is from RNAcentral.
GAUGAACGCUAGCGACAGGCUUAACACAUGCAAGUCGAGGGGCAGCACAGGUAGCAAUACCGGGUGGCGACCGGCGCACGGGUGAGUAACGCGUAUGCAACUUGCCUAUCAGAGGGGGAUAACCCGGCGAAAGUCGGACUAAUACCGCAUGAAGCAGGGGCCCCGCAUGGGGAUAUUUGCUAAAGAUUCAUCGCUGAUAGAUAGGCAUGCGUUCCAUUAGGCAGUUGGCGGGGUAACGGCCCACCAAACCGACGAUGGAUAGGGGUUCUGAGAGGAAGGUCCCCCACAUUGGUACUGAGACACGGACCAAACUCCUACGGGAGGCAGCAGUGAGGAAUAUUGGUCAAUGGGCGUAAGCCUGAACCAGCCAAGUCGCGUGAGGGAUGAAGGUUCUAUGGAUCGUAAACCUCUUUUAUAAGGGAAUAAAGUGCGGGACGUGUCCCGUUUUGUAUGUACCUUAUGAAUAAGGAUCGGCUAACUCCGUGCCAGCAGCCGCGGUAAUACGGAGGAUCCGAGCGUUAUCCGGAUUUAUUGGGUUUAAAGGGUGCGUAGGCGGCCUUUUAAGUCAGCGGUGAAAGUCUGUGGCUCAACCAUAGAAUUGCCGUUGAAACUGGGGGGCUUGAGUAUGUUUGAGGCAGGCGGAAUGCGUGGUGUAGCGGUGAAAUGCAUAGAUAUCACGCAGAACCCCGAUUGCGAAGGCAGCCUGCCAAGCCAUUACUGACGCUGAUGCACGAAAGCGUGGGGAUCAAACAGGAUUAGAUACCCUGGUAGUCCACGCAGUAAACGAUGAUCACUAGCUGUUUGCGAUACACUGUAAGCGGCACAGCGAAAGCGUUAAGUGAUCCACCUGGGGAGUACGCCGGCAACGGUGAAACUCAAAGGAAUUGACGGGGGCCCGCACAAGCGGAGGAACAUGUGGUUUAAUUCGAUGAUACGCGAGGAACCUUACCCGGGUUUGAACGCAUUCGGACCGAGGUGGAAACACCUUUUCUAGCAAUAGCCGUUUGCGAGGUGCUGCAUGGUUGUCGUCAGCUCGUGCCGUGAGGUGUCGGCUUAAGUGCCAUAACGAGCGCAACCCCUAUCCUUAGUAGCCAGCAGUAAGAUGGGCACUCUAGGGAGACUGCCGGGGAUAACCCGGAGGAAGGUGGGGAUGACGUCAAAUCAUCAUGCCCCUUAUGAUUUGGGCUACACACGUGCUACAAUGGCGUAAGCAAAGGGAAGCGAGCCUGCGAGGGGGAGCAAAUCCCAAAAAUAACGUCUCAGUUCGGAUUGUAGUCUGCAACUCGACUACAUGAAGCUGGAAUCGCUAGUAAUCGCAGAUCAGAAUGCUGCGGUGAAUACGUUCCCGGGUCG